CUCUCUUGGCUGAAUCCUUCAGUUCAAUUUCAAAGUUACAUUACGUUCGGAGCCGUCUUUGCUGCCAUUACCCGCUGGCCACUGCCACUUUUCGUUGGUUGUCGCCUCUCUCGCCGGCAACUACAUAAUCAUGUUUCACUUUGAUUUUAAUCAUUGUAUUGUACUUCUAAAAUUAGUUUGGUCGUGUGCAAUUUCAUCAAUUAAAAAGAAUCUCAGUACUUAAUUUGA
This 228-nucleotide long non-coding RNA is filed under the name Nicotiana benthamiana. RNAcentral's name for it is "long non-coding RNA (NBEN_LNC001178)". Lineage: Eukaryota; Viridiplantae; Streptophyta; Magnoliopsida; Solanales; Solanaceae. The record is from RNAcentral.